This is an RNA transcript of Dreissena polymorpha, 5460 nucleotides long. RefSeq lists it as uncharacterized. Lineage: Eukaryota; Metazoa; Mollusca; Bivalvia; Myida; Dreissenidae. The transcript has 5 exons. The record is from RefSeq and is a predicted model, not a curated record.
AAGAUGAUCGUUAGUCACGCAUGUCAAAUUAGUAUUUAUUUACUUCCGGGAAAAAUGAGACUAUUCUAUACUCGAAAAAUUCUUUUUAAUGCAUAGUUAAAAGGUUCCACUGUGCAGAGUGAACAGACAGAGAUUGAUGUGAUGCCAGGAUGGCAAAUGGUAGAGGACUACCGAUACAAGAUGCUUGGAAGAGUCUUCCAUAUUUUCAUGAAGAUUUUUCAACCACAGAAGAGGUGUCAAAGUACAUAAAAAAGAAGGCAAGAGGAAAAGCAGGACAUUUUCUCCUUCGGCCCAGUAAUAGAGACAGAAAUCGACUUACUGCAUCAAUAUAUUGCUCAGAUGACAGUGUGAGACACACAAACAUUUCUUAUGAAAUGUCAGUCGAAUUCCGCAGCUUGUACUACCUUGUGCCAGAAAAGAAAUUCGAAUCUCUUUCUCUUCUUGUGGAAUACUAUGGUGUAAACCCAGUAAAAAACAUGGAGAACAUCAGCAAUGUAUUUCUUAAAAAGCCAAUCAUGAAUAAAAAGUGGUUAAACAAUGGCAACUUUGAUGCAUUGUCUCGGUCAUCAUCUGACCGCAGUUUGAGUUUACACAGUUCCAUGAGUACAUUAAGCAUGAGUAAUGGUAGUUUGGGUGGAAUGGCAACGACCUUCGAUUCUGGAAGUAGUUCAUCCUUGUCAACUCCGACAUUACCGGGACAAACUCUGGCUCAGAGAUCUGAUUCCUUUGGGAAUACUUCUGUUACUAACGGCGGGACAUCUGUGAGGCCUUUACCUUUACCCAACAUGUCGUGCAUUGAACGUCGUCCACCCUUGCCCCUGCCCUCUGCUGUGUCGGACAAAAAGGAAGACGGACCUUAUAUGUAUUCAAAAGCUAGAGACGUCACUGAGGAUAUUUCGGAGCAGUUGAAAGAUGUGCUUAAGGCUAGUGAAAGAUGUGAGUGCGGAAUACCUCGACAUUUAGCUGAGUUGCCAAAAGGUUGGACUGUACAUCUCAGUAAAGAUGCGCCCACCAUCGGACGUUUGUUUUACCAAAACGACGCUGGUAUCACAUCCUGGGCGUUGCCCGAUGAUGUAAAAAUGCAGCUCACUAAAAAACAUAUUCAAAAUUUAACUACUAUCGAUCCAAACUGGAAAGUACAACGCUGAUGCAUGAUAACUUAAUGUUUUGUUAUUCAUAUUUAUUUAUUAUCUUCAAUUAAUGUAUAUGUACAGAUAGUAAGAUGUGAAGAUAGAAAUAUUUGCUCGAAAGGACACAGAGAUUUUUAUUAACUGUAUAUAGCUACUUGUUUGUUCUUGGUGAUUCAAUCAUACAGUCUGCUUAUAAACUCGCAAUCUGUGCUGUACAGUGAAUUAUUAAUAUUUUAUUGUGAAUUACAAACAAUAUUUACAAAAAACACUGUCUAAGUGUUCUUUUUUCAAUAAAUAGUUUGAUGUGUUUUAUAAAUUAGAUACAUGUUAUUGUCUUUCAUUAAAACUUUUCAUAUAUGCAGUUCAGUUAAAUAUGUAGUGAAUAUCUGUAUGUAUACAUAUUACUUAUUCUUGAUUUUAACACGAUAAUGUGCUUUCAGUUUAAUAUGUUUGGUGAAAGUUAAGUAAAAACCUUUAGAUAUUCUAUCAUCUUUAGCCUUUAUUAGUCCCAUGCUGUAAUGAAAUGACCUGUAUUAAUUGUAUUCAAGUGUACACAAUGCAUAUUGUACACAAACAGAUAUGGCAAUGCUGCUAUUGAAAUGACCCUGGCCCAGUUUGGCAAAGCUACAUGCACAAUUCUUUGAAUUACAAAAACAUUUCAUAUCCAGUGUGGCAUCUAUUCGUAAAAAAUUGUUAAAAGUAUCGACUGUGUCUGUUAAUUGUAAAUAAAAUCAAGAAACCUAUAAAUGUGUUCAUUCCUGUAAAUAUUAUUCUGUGAAUUUAAAAUGCAUGAAUGAGGAAGAAUGGUGGAAGUAGCUUUAAAAAAGAUAAAACCCCAGUCCAUGAAUAUUUUUAAAACAAAAUAAAAUCUUUAACAAAAUUCACUAAUGGACAUUUAAAAGACCAAAAUAAGAAAUCAGCACUGAAAUAUCUGCUGCAUAGAACAGGUCAGUUCCUUUGUUUCUCAGGUGAGCGACUUUGGGCCUUUCAGGGCCUCUUGUUUUAACACUACUGUUUUGUUAUCAGUCCAGCAUGGUCAGGAAAGGGUUAUAUGGAAAAUGUAUCAGUAUUUUUAUGCCGCUCUUCGAAAAAGAGGGGGUAUAUUGCUUUGCUCAUGUCGGUCGGUAGGUCGAUCGGUCUGUCCAUCCACCAGGUGGUUGUCAGACGAUAACUCAAGAACGCUUGGGCCUAGCAUCAUGAAACUUCAUAGGUGCAUUGAUCAUGACUUGCAGAUGACCCCUCUUGAUUUUGAGGUCACUAGGUCAAAGGUCAAGGUCACGGUGACCCGAAAUAGUAAAAUGGUUUCCGGAUAAUAACUCAAGAACACAUACGCCUAGGAUCAUGAAACUUCAUGGGUAGAUUGAUCAUGACUCGCAGAUGACCCCUAUUGAUUUUGAGGUCACUAGGUCAAAGGUCACGGUGACCCGAAAUAGUAAAAUGGUUUCCGGAUGAUAACUCAAGAACGCAUACGCCUAGGAUCAUGAAACUUCAUGGGUAGAUUGAGCAUGACUCGCAGAUGACCCUUAUUGAUUUUGAAGUCACUAGGUCAAAGGUCAAGGUCACUGUGACCCGAAAUAGUUAAAUGAUUUUCGUAUGAUAAUUCAAGAACGCAUAUGCCUAGGAUCAUGAAACUUUAUAGGUAGAUUGAUCAUGACUCGCAGAUGACCCCUAUUGAUUUUCAGGUCACUAGGUCAAAGGUCAAGGUCACAGUGACCCGAAAUAGUAAACUGAUUUUCGGAUGAUAACUCAAGAACGCAUAUGCCUAGGAUCAUGAAACUUCAUAGGUAGAUUGAUCAUGACUCGCAGAUGACCCCUUUUGAUUUUGAGGUCACAGGUCAAAGGUCAAGGCCACGGUGACCCGAAAUAGUAAAAUGAUUUUCGGAUGAUAACUCAAGAACGCUUUUGCCUAGGAUCAUGACACUUCAUAGGUACAUUGAUCAUGACUUGCAGAUGACCCCUAUUGAUUUUCAGGUCACUAGGUCAAAGGUCAAGGUCACAGUGACAAAAGUUGUAUUUACACAAUGGCUGCCAGUACAACGGACAGCCCAUAUGGGGGGCAUGCAUGUUUUACAAACAGCCCUUGUUGAGUACAUGAUGGCAUUUACAUGUACUUAAAGCUUCAACAAUUAGUUGUUUGUUUUCACCAACAUUUCCAAACAAAUUUAGUAGGUACAUGUAGGCCGGCUGAAGUUUUUCCUUCACUUCUUUCUUAUCUUGUUUAUCAUUUACAAGUAUUUUCCCACUUUGACAAGGUAAUUCAAUGACAUAAUAUUUAAAAGCUCUGUUUAAUAUUUGUUUAACCUCAUAUGCAAACAUAAAGUUGACGAAAAAUUAUGGAAAAUACUUUUUUUUAAAGAUAAAAUCUCAACCUGAAACACCCCAAAAAGUUAAGUUAAGGGACUUCGCUUAAAAAACAAGACUUGUCUUGUUUGUGAAAACAAAAUCACAAAAUUAUGCCAAAAAUGACUUGAUUUAAAAAAAUUAAUUGAACCAUUUUUAUACAAAAUCGUUUUUUCUUUAUGUGUUAUAUUUUAAUAGUUUUUCAUUAAAGUUAUAUGUAAUAGUUCACUACCAUUGAUGUUGAAUUACUGCAUAAAGCAUGCUCAUUUAAUUCUUUCCAUUAAAUGAUAUAAAGGUGUAAUAUUACCUUUUCAUAGAGCCAUUUUAUAAAUGAGGAAAAUUUGCUGCAUACAUAAUUUGCACUACAACUAAAUAUUCUCAUUCAUUCAUGUGUGGUUGGAUAGGAGUGUAUCGUGAACUGAAGAUAUUGAAUUCUCUUCCAUCAUUAAAUAUUACUGUUCAGGUAUAAGUAUAGAUAUUUGUAAACAAUUGUUAAGGCUUUUCAUACAAGUCACUGCAACAAAAUAGAUUGUGAAGAGUAUGCAUUAUGUAUUUAUUUUUUAACAAUUGAUAAUGCUCUUCAUUGUUUAUGCUGACAGUCAUUUCUUCCAUAUAGAUGUAUAGAUAUAAAUCUAGGAUUCAUCUGCCAUUUUCCACUCUACCCCCGAAACUAGUUGCUCUACAUUUUAAAAUUUGCCAAAGUAAUAUAUCUGCAAAGUUUUCUUGUGCAUGCCGUUCACAAUUAGUUAAUGGCAACGGAUAGUGAUUUAUGAUUAAGAAAAAACAACACAAACUCUGAUUACCAUUGUGGAUGUUGAUGCAUUAAUAAGUGUAUACUUGUAACAAUUCAGUGAAUAAAUGCACUUGUCUAGCAGCAACAUAACUGUUUCAUACAGCACUUUUUGUUAUUUAUAUGGUGAUUGAGUAACUUCAUUAACAAUACUUAAAUCUUUUAUAAUCACAUUUGAUACAAAUAUAUUAAAAUUGAAAUGGCUUAAGAAUAUUUGCGGUUGUUUGAUUUGAAAACAGGUCAUACUUAUUUCAAUUGUGUUGUUUCUUUUUAGUUUCCAGAUUGUAAUUCAAAAGGAGGAAAUGCAUUUAUUUAUCUAGAUGAAAUUUGGAACAUUGCCACAUGUUCAAGGGCUGUCUGCUGUAUUGAUGCAUUGAUGUUACAUCAGUGAAUGGAAAUUAUACGUUUAAAGUUUUGUUACAAUUGUAAAACAGAUAUUGCAGCAGAAAUGUAAGUAAUAAAAAUCAAGGUUAUUCACAGUUCUAAAUGCUCCGUCGGAAGCAACAGGAGGGUUAGAAAAAUCCCUUUGAUCCCUCAGUCUUUCUGUAACAUUUUAGUUUCUGCCCUGUAUGUCCUAUAAUCUUGACACCUCUGGAGCCUUUGAUUUGCAAUAAACCUGUCUCAAAUUUUAAGGUUAACAAUUAUUUCAGAAUUCGGUCAUGAUGGACUCUUAACAUUCAUUCACAACGAAAUUCUUAUAUUAAUGAUUAUUGAGAAUUUGGUGUGUUUUGUUAGUAUUAUCUGUAAUUAAACCAUACAUAACAAUUUUAAUUGUAUGUGUCGUAUUAUGUGUUUUAAGCUUAUGUUUGUGUAACUUGUCUACUGCAUUUGCUCAAUGUCAUUUGCCUAGUAUUGUGCUUCAUUUGAAAGUGUAACAAAAAUCAAACAAGGAAGGUAUAUGAGGCACACUCUGGGAAAAUGGGACUGAAUGCAUAAAGUGCUGUCCCAGAUUAGCCUGUGCACGGGGUCCCAGAUUAGCCUGUGCAGGGGGUCCCAGAUUAGCCUGUGCACGGGGUAAUCAGGUACAACUCUUUCUGUUUUUAUGGAUGUUUUGGUUAAAUGAAAGUCUGUUAAUGCUGAAAGUGUUGCCCCUGAUUCGUCUGUGCAGAGUGCACUGGCUUAUCUGGACUCCAUUUAACCCUUUGAAUUGCGUCCAGUUUACCCAGAGCAUGGCUCAUAUUUAUUGAUUGAUGUGUACCC